AACGCUGGCGGCAUGCUUUACACAUGCAAGUCGAACGGUAACAGGUCUUCGGAUGCUGACGAGUGGCGAACGGGUGAGUAAUACAUCGGAACGUGCCUAGUAGUGGGGGAUAACUACUCGAAAGAGUAGCUAAUACCGCAUGAGAUCUACGGAUGAAAGCAGGGGACCUUCGGGCCUUGUGCUACUAGAGCGGCUGAUGGCAGAUUAGGUAGUUGGUGGGGUAAAGGCUUACCAAGCCUGCGAUCUGUAGCUGGUCUGAGAGGACGACCAGCCACACUGGGACUGAGACACGGCCCAGACUCCUACGGGAGGCAGCAGUGGGGAAUUUUGGACAAUGGGCGAAAGCCUGAUCCAGCAAUGCCGCGUGCAGGAUGAAGGCCCUCGGGUUGUAAACUGCUUUUGUACGGAACGAAAAGCCUGGGGCUAAUAUCCCCGGGUCAUGACGGUACCGUAAGAAUAAGCACCGGCUAACUACGUGCCAGCAGCCGCGGUAAUACGUAGGGUGCAAGCGUUAAUCGGAAUUACUGGGCGUAAAGCGUGCGCAGGCGGUUUUGUAAGACAGUGGUGAAAUCCCCGGGCUCAACCUGGGAACUGCCAUUGUGACUGCAAGGCUAGAGUGCGGCAGAGGGGGAUGGAAUUCCGCGUGUAGCAGUGAAAUGCGUAGAUAUGCGGAGGAACACCGAUGGCGAAGGCAAUCCCCUGGGCCUGCACUGACGCUCA
RNAcentral lists this ribosomal RNA (720 nucleotides) under Comamonas sp. CCM-006. Its description in RNAcentral is "bacterial SSU rRNA". It matches the Rfam family "Bacterial small subunit ribosomal RNA", at positions 32 to 749 of the family's 1533-position model. The record is from RNAcentral. Lineage: Bacteria; Pseudomonadati; Pseudomonadota; Betaproteobacteria; Burkholderiales; Comamonadaceae.